RNAcentral lists this long non-coding RNA (1537 nucleotides) under Capsicum annuum. RNAcentral describes it as "long non-coding RNA (CANN_LNC004115)". Lineage: Eukaryota; Viridiplantae; Streptophyta; Magnoliopsida; Solanales; Solanaceae. The record is from RNAcentral.
GCUGGUAUUGGCAUGUCUUGUGAGUGACCCGAAAUGCAGAGUGUACCAGAAUCAUCUUGUUCCCAAUACACUUCUACCAUAGUACCGAUAGGAUUCUCAGCAGAUUCUGUUCCUGGGAUUUUCACAAAUCUUGCUCCUACAGGUAUCUGAAUAGUCACAUAAAUGAAACAGCGUUACUUAUUUCACAGAGAUUAGAGUUUUCGCAUGCAAUCUCAUCAAGAAAAUUAGGAAAUCGAGAAUCUGAUAAUCUACUUACUUGAAGUGAGAGCCCCGUAUUCAAAGUAAGAGUUGCAGAGCUUCCUUCAGCCACAUCUUCCAAUUCUGCUUGUCUAGCAAUGUUUAGAAAAACUUCUUCAAGAGUUGUAAGCCCCAGCUGGAUAUCUGAUAUGCCAAAUUCCAUAUCUCUAGCUUGUAGCUCAGCAAAAAAGUCCUGAUUGAAGGUAAAAGCCAGUGAUCACCAAAUGAGCUAAAAGUCCAAAACUCGUGUGCAUGUAAUUCCACAAUAUAGUAGCAAGACCAGAAAUGAUUUUAAACCAAUCUAAUCUCAUAGUUGCUUUAAAGAUUUUUACCGUCAACAACUUCUCCUUGUCAUGGGGAAUAAUAUAGGUUAGGAAGGAUUUAUUUUCCUCUUUAGGCAUCACGUCCAGACGCUGUGUACAAAGCUAGCAAAUCAGAACCAGUUCCUCUAAUAGUUUCAGAAAAGAAAGGGAAAAAGCAAUAGGCAUCUUUGACAUACACUUUUAAAGAACUGUUUCAAUGCUUCAGGUUGAGAUGUACUCAAACUAUCUUCCCUUUCAGGAGACCCAUUUGUCCCACCAGAAAAGCUUACGUUAGCAAUGAAACCAGUUCCAAACUUCGAUUUCAAUCUUAUUGAAGUUCCGAUGCAACGAAGUCUACCCUUUGCCAUGAUGCCAAUGCGGUCACUUAAGAUGUCAGCUUCUUCCAUUGAAUGAGUAUAAUUUUGUAAUAUAUUGAUAAAUUAGUGUUAACCAAAACGAAGCUAUAAGAUACAAAGAAUCUGCCUGGAAACAAAAUGUUCUGGUGACACACAAAUACUCCAAAUAGCAAACACAUUUACAGCAAUUCACCUAUACACAAAAAUAGUUUAAAGCCUUUUUUUACUGUGACUAUUAAGUUCUAUAUCUAUCAUGAAGUUGCACCCGUGAUCUGUGCAGGGUCGAUCACAAUUCCAUGAUUUUGUUUCUGUCGUCCUAAAAUGUUUCUACCAGAAGUGGCUGUUGGAGGAUCUCUUAGUUGAAUAUGAGCUGGUAUUGGCAUGUCUUGUGAGUGACCCGAAAUGCAGAGUGUACCAGAAUCAUCUUGUUCCCAAUACACUUCUACCAUAGUACCGAUAGGAUUCUCAGCAGAUUCUGUUCCUGGGAUUUUCACAAAUCUUGCUCCUACAGGUAUCUGAAUAGUCACAUAAAUGAAACAGCGUUACUUAUUUCACAGAGAUUAGAGUUUUCGCAUGCAAUCUCAUCAAGAAAAUUAGGAAAUCGAGAAUCUGAUAAUCUACUUACUUGAAGUGAGAGCCCCG